RNAcentral lists this ribosomal RNA (301 nucleotides) under uncultured bacterium. RNAcentral's name for it is "partial 16S ribosomal RNA". It matches the Rfam family "Bacterial small subunit ribosomal RNA", at positions 509 to 807 of the family's 1533-position model. The record is from RNAcentral.
CAGUAGCCGCGGUAAUACAGAGGGUGCGAGCGUUAAUCGGAUUUACUGGGCGUAAAGCGUGCGUAGGCGGCUUCUUAAGUCGGAUGUGAAAUCCCUGAGCUUAACUUAGGAAUUGCAUUCGAUACUGGGAAGCUAGAGUAUGGGAGAGGAUGGUAGAAUUCCAGGUGUAGCGGUGAAAUGCGUAGAGAUCUGGAGGAAUACCAAUGGCGAAGGCAGCCAUCUGGCCUAAUACUGACGCUGAGGUACGAAAGCAUGGGGAGCAAACAGGAUUAGAUACCCCGGUAGUCCCUGUCUCUUAUAC